AUUUAUAUAGUUUAAAUAAAACAUUACCUUUUCACGGUAAAAUUAUAUAAUUUAUAUUAUAAAUA
This 65-nucleotide transfer RNA is filed under the name Dendroctonus valens (red turpentine beetle). Its description in RNAcentral is "tRNA-Glu". The record is from RNAcentral. Lineage: Eukaryota; Metazoa; Arthropoda; Insecta; Coleoptera; Curculionidae.